This is an RNA transcript of Sceloporus undulatus (fence lizard), 1924 nucleotides long. It is a transcript of the gene named methyltransferase like 7A, with no coding region annotated. The transcript is spliced from 3 exons. The record is from RefSeq and is a predicted model, not a curated record. Lineage: Eukaryota; Metazoa; Chordata; Lepidosauria; Squamata; Phrynosomatidae.
CAGAUAAAAGCCACUCCUCCCCAGACUCUGCAAAGACUUUUCUUUCAUCCUGGUUUCCCUUUUCUGCAUUUCUUGCCUCUUCUCAACAUGGAAAUGAGCUUCCUAGUUGUCCUGCUUCGAUUAUGUGUCCAGUUCCUUGCUCUUCCUAUUUACUUGCUGUGGUUCCUGGGUAUAUGGGAUCCCAUUUGCAAGAAAGCAUUCCCUUAUUUUAUGGUUUACUUCUCUGUCCACUACAACAGCAAGAUGUCUGCCAAGAAGAAAGAACUUUUCAACAACCUCAGUGACUUCGCAAGCCCUUCAGGAGUUCUUACAAUUCUGGAGAUUGGCACAGGAACUGGGACCAACUUCCAGUUCUACCCAAGAGGAUGCAAAGUUAUAUGCACUGACCCUAAUCCCAACUUCAAGAAAUUUCUUGACAAGAACCUGUCUGAAAAUCCACAGGUAAAGCUGGAGCGUUGCAUAGUGACAGGAGCUGAGGAUUUGCACCAAAUACCAGACGCUUCGGUGGAUGUAGUGGUUUGUACUCUGGUGCUGUGCUCUGUGACAAGCAUAGAAGGAGUCCUGAGAGAAGUUCUGCGAGUGCUGCGACCAGGAGGUGCUUUCUACUUCAUGGAACAUGUUGCAGGUCCUCCUUCCAGCUGGAGUCUCUUCUGGCAGCAAAUCUAUGAUCCACCUUGGAAAGUUGUGUUUGAUGGAUGCCACUUGACCAGAGAGACAGGGAAGUACCUGGAAAAGGCUGGGUUUUCAGAGCUGAAGCUACGUCAUAUGCAGGCCCCUUUAAAUUGGAAUCCUGUUAGACCACAUAUCAUAGGCUAUGCUGUGAAGUAACUAUAUAACAAAGGCUGUUAAGCAAAUUUCCAAAUGCUGGGUAUAGAAGUGAUUUAUUGUCUUCUGUACAGGUGUGUGUGUGUAACCUAAAUGGGAGAAUUUAUGGCAAUUCAACCUAUGACCCAUAAACCUCUAACUUGCUUCAGUGCAGAUGAAGACAUUCUGUUACCAGUAUUUGCCAUAUUCACAUCUACAUGAAGAGCUCUCAACUCUAAUUCUGUUCUCCAUGAACUCGCUUGAUUCCACUAAGCAUUAAAUAACAGCCAUUGCUUCUUACAGAUCCUUUUAUCUGUUUGCCAUAUGACUGGGAUAUGGUUUAUUUUUGUUCAGGGCUGGAAACAUAUGGCCUUUUAGGUGUAGGAAUUAGCAAGACAGUCCAGUGAUGAGGGAGGAUGGGAAUCACUGUUCAUCAACAUUUGAAAAACUGAAGGUUCUUUUGCCUUCUUUUCUUUUCUUUAUUUCCAGUGUAUCAGUACUGGAUUUCCAAGCAAUUGUUUAGAGAGCCAGCAUAAUGUAGUGGUCUGAGAGUUGGACUAGGAUACUGGAAGAUUAGGGUUUGAAUCCCUGUUGGACCAUGGAAACUGAACAAACACAAUAGGAGGAAGAAAUAGAAGGGAGAAACUAACAAUGCACUGAACUGUGAUAUGUCAAAGGAAUAAAUGUGUCCAAAAAUAAAACCACCACUUUCACACAUACACAAUACUAAAUUGUAUUAUACAGUAACCACAUGGUAGUAAUGCUGAAAAACAGUAAAUACACAUCCAAAGUACCUAUGUAAAGCAGCAUAUCCCAAACUCUACUCACAUAUUUCCUCAUGUUCUAAUAAUCUCUGCUGCAGUGAAAAGGUUUCUGUAAGGGGAGGCUGGCAAAAGGUUCCACAGAUGAUAGAUUAAUGCUCUCUCUGGUCUUCACAGCUAUGGUUUUGAACUUUAUAUCCACAUGUCAUAGAAGUAGUCGUCUUGCAACCAUACAGCAUAUUGAUUGUAUAAACUAUCGAAGAUGAAUAGCAAGCAAUGAUAGCAGGAAAGUGAAUAAAUAACUAUGAGAGAAGAUGACUACCUCCAGAGUUUUUUUAGAAGCCAUUUCGAAAUAAUAA